This 213-nucleotide long non-coding RNA is filed under the name Mytilus galloprovincialis (Mediterranean mussel). Lineage: Eukaryota; Metazoa; Mollusca; Bivalvia; Mytilida; Mytilidae. The record is from RNAcentral.
AUGGUUGACAGCAACCCAACACACUGUUGAGUAAUUACAUCAGACAUAUUAUUGUACUGAUAGAUGUAAGAGGAGAUUUCUGAUCAAACUCUUUAUAAACAUUCAGACCACAUGAAAAUAAUAUUUCUGAAAUAUUUUUUAUAAAAACUAUUUUUUUUCCAAACAGGAAUAACAUACUGGUACCUACCUAUGUAUUAGAUCUAUAAGUCUUAU